Molecule: ribosomal RNA, 415 nt
Filed under: uncultured prokaryote
Description: bacterial SSU rRNA
Rfam family: Bacterial small subunit ribosomal RNA
Source: RNAcentral
GUGCCAGCAGCCGCGGUAAUACGUAGGUGGCAAGCGUUGUCCGGAAUUAUUGGGCGUAAAGCGCGCGCAGGCGGUCUCUUAAGUCUGAUGUGAAAGCCCACGGCUCAACCGUGGAGGGUCAUUGGAAACUGGGGGACUUGAGUGCAGAAGAGGAAAGUGGAAUUCCACGUGUAGCGGUGAAAUGCGUAGAGAUGUGGAGGAACACCAGUGGCGAAGGCGACUUUCUGGUCUGUAACUGACGCUGAGGCGCGAAAGCGUGGGGAGCAAACAGGAUUAGAUACCCUGGUAGUCCACGCCGUAAACGAUGAGUGCUAAGUGUUAGGGGGUUUCCGCCCCUUAGUGCUGCAGCUAACGCAUUAAGCACUCCGCCUGGGGAGUACGGCCGCAAGGCUGAAACUCAAAGGAAUUGACGGGG